This is a long non-coding RNA of Oncorhynchus tshawytscha (Chinook salmon), 733 nucleotides long. NCBI's taxonomy places the organism in Eukaryota, Metazoa, Chordata, Actinopteri, Salmoniformes, Salmonidae. The record is from Ensembl.
UACUGUACUCUGUACCAACUUCUACCUAAAAUUGUAUUACUAAAGGAGAAUCGUAAUACUUAAAUAAAGAGUCUGUUUCCUUUCUACUACCAAUAUAUAUAUUUGAUAAUUAUAUAGACCUGAUCAUCUGCUGAAGAAAUUGACCAACACGAGGACAAGGAACACCCCUACGCAGGCAUCCUGGAUGGGUCAUCCAUUCACAGCUGUCAGGGCCCCCAACAAAGGCCUCAGGGGCCCCAGCACCCCCAGGACAGUUGUCCAGGCCAGCCCAACCUUGAGGCCCUCUACGCCCAAGUCAACAAGACCCACAAUGGAUGCCCUUCAAUUGGCUGACAGGUACGGGGCACCACCACCAAUCACCAACAGCCGAAACAACCACCAACUAAAACCAGCAGCAAAAUCAACAGCAGCAACAACACAUCACCUCAAUACCCUUCAACACCACCACCACCCAAAACCAACAACAACAACAUCAUCCUCCAUUCACACACAACCGACUGGCGCCUAGCAAUCAUGACCGGAUACAGCGUCUGAGGUUUGAUUUCCAGCAGGCCAGAGGAGAUGAGAAUCCUGACAACCGAUGACGCACAUAUAGCUUCGAACAGCCCUGGGCUAACUCAGGGAUGUACACCCCAACCGGACGCCACUCGGUGUCUGUGGAGUUAUAGGUGCAGAGGCAGAGACAGAGACAAGAUGAGAUAAAAGACUCAUUCACACAGGCCCAAAGGCAGUA